Molecule: ribosomal RNA, 676 nt
Filed under: uncultured bacterium
Lineage: Bacteria
Description: bacterial SSU rRNA
Rfam family: Bacterial small subunit ribosomal RNA
Source: RNAcentral
GAAACGACUGCUAAUAGCGCAUGAUACAUUUGGGUGGCAUCAUCUGAAUGUCAAAGGUUUAUCGCUGAAAGAUGGCCUCGCGUCUGAUUAGCUGGUUGGUGAGGUAACGGCCCACCAAGGCGACGAUCAGUAGCCGGACUGAGAGGUUGACCGGCCACAUUGGGACUGAGAUACGGCCCAGACUCCUACGGGAGGCAGCAGUGGGGAAUAUUGGGCAAUGGGCGCAAGCCUGACCCAGCAACGCCGCGUGAAGGAAGAAGGCUUUCGGGUUGUAAACUUCUUUUAAGAGGGAAGAGCAGAAGACUGUACCUCUAGAAUAAGCCACGGCUAACUACGUGCCAGCAGCCGCGGUAAUACGUAGGUGGCAAGCGUUGUCCGGAUUUACUGGGUGUAAAGGGCGCGCAGCCGGGAAUGCAAGUCAGAUGUGAAAUCCAUGGGCUUAACCCAUGAACUGCAUUUGAAACUGUAUUUCUUGAGUACUGGAGAGGCAAUCGGAAUUCCUAGUGUAGCGGUGAAAUGCGUAGAUAUUAGGAGGAACACCAGUGGCGAAGGCGGAUUGCUGGACAGCAACUGACGGUGAGGCGCGAAAGUGUGGGGAGCAAACAGGAUUAGAUACCCUGGUAGUCCACACUGUAAACGAUGAAUACGAGGUGUGCGGGGACUGACCCCCUGCGUG